This 1822-nucleotide long non-coding RNA is filed under the name Carica papaya (papaya). RNAcentral's name for it is "long non-coding RNA (CPAP_LNC011314)". The record is from RNAcentral. Lineage: Eukaryota; Viridiplantae; Streptophyta; Magnoliopsida; Brassicales; Caricaceae.
AUGACCUUUCCGAAGGUUUUAUCCUGUCAAAGGAAUGUAAACAUUGGAUUAAAUCCUUCUCCAGAAAAGGUAGCAUCUCAUAGCCAUUUACUUAUUUAUGCUCCCUAAUGCAUAGAAAAGAAUUGACACAUGAAAAUAUGUUACAUCCUGUUGCCAAAGAAACACUUGACAUAGAUUACAAAAUCAAUGAGAUAUAAUAUUUUUGAGAAGUCAAUGAAAAAAAUGAAAAGGUACAUUAUGAAUAGUAGUUUUAGCAAAAUGUUUGGAGCAGAUGAAGGGCCGAUGUUGCUACAGGAGAACAGGAUACCUCAAGCUGGGUGCGGACAUUUUUCAUGUCAACAGUAGGGACACCAAGACAUUUAAUUCUGACAGCUUCAGCAUGCUUCCAAUGAUUAUGAAUCUCAUCCAGCAUAUUGUGAGUUAAACCAUCUCUCCCUACAAAUGGACACAUGGCAUACUACUAUAAGACAAAGACAGGGAAAUUAGGAGGAAACAAUUCACCAAAUUGUUGAUCCAUUAUGCCCUUAGUAAUUUUGGUGUCGCUUACCUAUUAGCUUCUUCGAGUUUUCCUUUUUUGAGAACACUAAGAUUCCAUUUGAUAUUAUACUUUUCAUUUCCCAAAUUUAUGUGUUCAUGCAUGUAUAAGUCAUGAAAAUAUAUAAGAGGUGCGCUAGUGUUUGGUUCAGUUGUAGUUUGUAUUGUGAGUUUUAAAAAUAAUGUUAAAAUAAAUAUCCAUUAAAAACACUUUUACUCAAGUUAUUUGGUAUUUGGUAAAAAUACUUAUAAGUGUUAUCACUUUAAAGAAGAAAAAACUAUCUGUUUAGUAAAAAUGACUUUAAAAUUUCACAAUAAAUUUUUAGUAAAAUCAAAAGUUAUUUUCUAAAAGAUACAUAUUGUCAUUUCUGCAUUUAAAACUAUUAACAGUAGAUUUUAACUUUACCUUUGGUUAAAAGCACUUAAAAUUUACCAGUUUGGUUGCAAAAAGCUUUUGAAACACAAAAAUCAAAGCCAAAACCCAACCAAACGCACCCUUUGUGGAAUAUCAAGUAGAAUUAGAAAGAGUUUUAUAUAAAACAACAAAAAUAAUAUUUUAAAAUUUUCAUGUUCUAGCAUCAUUUUGACAAUCAUUCUCUUCAUUGUUAAUUUUUUUAAAAAUAAAAAAGAAUGAGUAAUGUAUAUGGCAUCAACAUGGUGCUGCCUAUGUACAUUAUAUUUACAUGUUGGUUAGAACAUCAAUGAAAUUCCCAAAAUCAUCCCACCUGUUAGGGUCAUGGCCCAAAAUAGGAGACCCAAAAAUAUUAAACCACGUAUCUCUAAUUCUGGUUAUGUGCCCCACACACCCAUUAAACAAUCUAUUGUUUCUCUCUUUCUACACCAUCAAAAAAUAGUUAGAGAAAUAAGCUUUACAGUUUUUGACUUUUUACAAAUCCCUCCCCAUAUCCAAAGUUCAUCCCUAACAGUACCUGCAAUCACCCAAUUGAUACCAAUAGACUAUACAUUUUCAUCAUUGUUAAUUAAUUCAUAUGCUUUUCGUGAAUAAAAUACAUAUAACUUUAGAAAUAAGGAACUAGACAUUUUUAUAUACUAAAUGGACCCUGAUGUUCUUAACUAGCAGGAAAAAUAAGAAAAUACACUACCAGAUCAACUAAAUAAACUCAACUCAUGGAGGAAGUCAAAAGCAUCUCAUGCUCGAAUGCCACCAACAGACAAACCAUUGGAGAAGUGCAGCAAAUGAAAAAAAAAAGUUAAAAGUACAAUUUCCCCCCUUGUGAUUUAGCCUGAUUGUAGUUCAAUCCUUGUUUUCUUUUUGCAACAGUUCAGU